CGGGCCUGUGGCUAGCCGAGCGGGUGUCCCUUCCAGCCGCGCCUUUUGGCCCCGGAAAGAGGAGCCGGGGAAGAGAAGAGAGGAAAUGGCGCCAGGUACGUGGCCGACGAUCUUCCAGGAGAACUGGCUGCCCAGAGGCUUCCGGGUUCAAGGCGGAGCGCUCCUUACGGACUCAGCCAAGAGCCUCCUGUCUCACCUGCCCACCUCAUGCCAGCUGCUGGUCCAUCAAAAGAUCUGCUCGGGAAUCCAUCUUUGAAGGCUUUUCAGCAGCUUUGCACCAAUACCCUGAGGCGGACAUUACACACACACCCCCCCCAAGCACCAUGCACAAAAUCAGACACUAGAGUGCAAAAUACACCUUUUUCUUCUGGGACUACAGUCUUUCUUUCUUUCUUUCUUUCUUUCUUUCUUUCUUUCUUUCUUUCUUUCUUUCUUUCUUUCUUUCUUUCUUUCUCUGCCAUUCUAUUCUUUGGCUGUUUCAAUUUGGAACAUUUUCCCCUAAUUUUUUUACUGUAGGCUAUUUCAAGAAUUUCAAGGCAGCUAAUAAAGGACUUUUUAUAACAGUA
Molecule: non-coding RNA, 566 nt
Organism: Pantherophis guttatus
Lineage: Eukaryota; Metazoa; Chordata; Lepidosauria; Squamata; Colubridae
Source: RefSeq, a predicted model, not a curated record